UAAGAGCAAAGAGGAUCAAAGUCGGAUAGGGGAAAAGAGAGUAAACGAAUAGCCGUGGACAUCUAAUCGUCGACCACUCCCGAGAUUUUGCUCGUUAGCUAUCGGAUUCGGGAUCAUUGAAGUCGAAGUCAUCCACACUAUCAAAGCCCCCAUUUUGGUACAAUUUUGGUUGAACUUUGAAAUGGCAUGUAUAGGACUACCCUUUUGUUGUAGGUUAUGUACCUUUCGGUUUUGUGUAAAUUCGGAUAGCCAUGCGAAAAUGGCUUAUAUACGUUUCUAGCAUAGUACUAUAAUCGUUUGUAUGUUGAUCAUUAUGAGGUAUGGAAUUGUUUUGAAACGAUUAGCCAUUGGAAUGGUUAAUCAUGAUCACACCUUGUGCUAUGUAUGCAAAA
Molecule: long non-coding RNA, 392 nt
Organism: Gossypium arboreum
Lineage: Eukaryota; Viridiplantae; Streptophyta; Magnoliopsida; Malvales; Malvaceae
Exons: 2
Source: RefSeq, a predicted model, not a curated record